This 331-nucleotide unclassified non-coding RNA is filed under the name soil metagenome. RNAcentral's name for it is "partial contains 5.8S ribosomal RNA, internal transcribed spacer 2, and large subunit ribosomal RNA". The stretch from base 1 to 120 matches the Rfam family "5.8S ribosomal RNA", at positions 35 to 154 of the family's 154-position model. The record is from RNAcentral.
GAUGAAGAACGUAGUGAAAUGCGAUAAGUAAUGUGAAUUGCAGAAUUCAGUGAAUCAUCGAAUCUUUGAACGCACAUUGCGCCCCCUGGUAUUCCGGGGGGCAUGCCUGUUCGAGCGUCAUUUCACCACUCAAGCCUCGCUUGGUAUUGGGCAACGCGGUCCGCCGCGUGCCUCAAAUCGACCGGCUGGGUCUUCUGUCCCCUAAGCGUUGUGGAAACUAUUCGCUAAAGGGUGCUCGGGAGGCUACGCCGUAAAACAAACCCAUUUCUAAGGUUGACCCCGGAUCAGGUAGGGAUACCCGCUGAACUUAAGCAUAUCAAUAAGCGGAGGA